GAUGAACGCUGACAGAAUGCUUAACACAUGCAAGUCUUUGGCGAAUCUGUGCUUGCACAGGCUAGCCAAGGCGGACGGGUGAGUAACGCGUAAAGAACUUGCCCUGCAGACAGGGAUAACAGACGGAAACGACUGAUAACACCUGAUACAGUUGCCGGCACGCAUGUGCCUGGCAAUGAAAAGAGAUGCUGCAGGAGAGCUUUGCGUCCUAUUAGCUUGUUGGUGAGGUGACGGCUCACCAAGGCGAUGAUAGGUAGCCGGCCUGAGAGGGUGAACGGCCACAAGGGGACUGAGAUACGGCCCUUACUCCUACGGGAGGCAGCAGUGGGGAAUAUUGGACAAUGGGGGCAACCCUGAUCCAGCAAUUCUGUGUGCACGAAGAAGGUUUUCGGAUUGUAAAGUGCUUUCAGCAGGGAAGAAGGAAGUGACGGUACCUGCAGAAGAAGCGACGGCUAAAUACGUG
This 463-nucleotide ribosomal RNA is filed under the name uncultured bacterium. RNAcentral's name for it is "partial 16S ribosomal RNA". It matches the Rfam family "Bacterial small subunit ribosomal RNA", at positions 28 to 507 of the family's 1533-position model. The record is from RNAcentral.